Molecule: long non-coding RNA, 227 nt
Filed under: Elaeis guineensis (African oil palm)
Lineage: Eukaryota; Viridiplantae; Streptophyta; Magnoliopsida; Arecales; Arecaceae
Description: long non-coding RNA (EGUI_LNC001171)
Source: RNAcentral
CCCUUUGUUCCUGCCUUCUUUAAAGUGGAAAAAUACCACUUUCUUUUUAUAAAUGCAUCCCAAAUAAGGAACAAUGCCCGGUCCUAGAGCUGUAGGCAUGGUUCCUUGCCUAUAUCUGCUCGGAUAUACCACUUAUUCUUGGUCGAUCAUCAAGAGUUAUGACUUGAAGAGUCUUGAUGAUUUUUAUCCGCAGUGCGGAGACAUGAGCUACUUGGGAGGGCAUCUCC